Molecule: ribosomal RNA, 482 nt
Filed under: uncultured bacterium
Lineage: Bacteria
Description: partial 16S ribosomal RNA
Rfam family: Bacterial small subunit ribosomal RNA
Source: RNAcentral
GAUGAACGUUGGCGGCAUGGAUUAGGCAUGCAAGUCGAGCGAGAAGUGUAGCAAUACACGGAAAGCGGCGGAAGGGAGAGUAAUACGUGGGAAUCUGCCCUUAGACCUGGGAUAGCAGCGGGAAACUGCUGGUAAUACCAGAUAAUGUCUAUGGACCAAAGGUGUGAUUCCGUCUAGGGAUGAGCCCACGUCCUAUUAGCUAGUUGGUAGGGUAAUGGCCUACCAAGGCGAUGAUGGGUAGCGGGUGUGAGAGCAUGACCCGCCUCACUGGGACUGAGACACUGCCCAGACACCUACGGGUGGCUGCAGUCGAGAAUCUUCGGCAAUGGGCGCAAGCCUGACCGAGCGAUGCCGCGUGCGGGAUGAAGGCCUUCGGGUUGUAAACCGCUGUCGAGGGGGAGCAACUUCCAUAGAGUUAUCUUUAUGGAUUGAGUGAUCCCUGGAGGAAGGACGGGCUAAGUUCGUGCCAGCCGCCGCGGUAA